This 433-nucleotide ribosomal RNA is filed under the name uncultured Shigella sp. Its description in RNAcentral is "bacterial SSU rRNA". It matches the Rfam family "Bacterial small subunit ribosomal RNA", at positions 958 to 1392 of the family's 1533-position model. Lineage: Bacteria; Pseudomonadati; Pseudomonadota; Gammaproteobacteria; Enterobacterales; Enterobacteriaceae. The record is from RNAcentral.
AACGCGAAGAACCUUACCAGGUCUUGACAUCGAUCUAAACUUGUAGAGAUACAAGGUGGCUUCGGCCGAGAGAAGACAGGUGGUGCAUGGUUGUCGUCAGCUCGUGUUGUGAAAUGUUGAGUUAAGUCCCGCAACGAGCGCAACCCUUAUCCUUUGUUGCCAGCGGUCCGGCCGGGAACUCAAAGGAGACUGCCAGUGAUAAACUGGGGGAAGGUGGGGAUGACGUCAAGUCAUCAUGGCCCUUACGACCAGGGCUACACACGUGCUACAAUGGCGCAUACAAAGAGAAGCGACCUCGCGAGAGCAAGCGGACCUCAUAAAGUGCGUCGUAGUCCGGAUUGGAGUCUGCAACUCGACUCCAUGAAGUCGGAAUCGCUAGUAAUCGUGGAUCAGAAUGCCACGGUGAAUACGUUCCCGGGUCUUGUACACACCG